GAUGAAGAACGUAGAGAAACGCGAUAUGUAAUGUGAAUUGCAGAAUUCAGUGAAUCAUCGAAUCUUUGAACGCACAUGGCGCCUUCCAGUAUCCUGGGAGGCAUGCCUGUCCGAGCGUCGUUUCAACCCUCGAGCCCCCGUGGCCCGGCGUUGGGGAUCUGCCCAGGCAGUCCCCGAAAACCAGUGGCGGACCCGUUACAGGCCCUUCCCUUGCGUAGUAGCAUUCGCCUCGCAUCGGGAGCCGGCGGGCUUCCAGCCUCUAAACCCCCAUCAAGUCCGCCCCGGCGGCACCAAGGUUGACCUCGGAUCAGGUAGGGAUACCCGCUGAACUUAAGCAUAUCAAUAAGCGGAGGA
This 354-nucleotide unclassified non-coding RNA is filed under the name soil metagenome. RNAcentral's name for it is "partial contains 5.8S ribosomal RNA, internal transcribed spacer 2, and large subunit ribosomal RNA". The stretch from base 1 to 120 matches the Rfam family "5.8S ribosomal RNA", at positions 35 to 154 of the family's 154-position model. The record is from RNAcentral.